CCUACGAGUGACUGCAGUAGGGAAUUUUGCGCAAUGGGCGACAGCCUGCCGCAGCAACGCCGCGUGAACGAGACGCCCUUCGGGGUGUAAAGUUCUGUCAGUGGGGACGAAAGAUGACGGUACCCACAGAGGAAGCACCGGCUAACUCCGUGCCAGCAGCCGCGGUACUAAGGAGGGUGCAAGCGUUGUCCGGAUUCAUUGGGCGUAAGAGUUCGUAGGCGGUUUGUUAAGUCUGGUGUUAAAGGCAGAAGCUCAACUGCUGUUCGGCACUGGAUACUGGCCAACUAGAAUGCGGUAGGGGUAAAGGGAAUUCCUGGUGGAGCGGUGAAAGGCUUAGAUAUCAGGAGGAACAUCGGUGGCGUAAGCGCUUUACUGGGCCGUAAUUGACGCUGAGGAACGAAAGCCAGGGUAGCAAAUGGGAUUAGAUACCCUUGUAGUC
Molecule: ribosomal RNA, 439 nt
Filed under: uncultured bacterium
Lineage: Bacteria
Description: partial 16S ribosomal RNA
Rfam family: Bacterial small subunit ribosomal RNA
Source: RNAcentral